CCCCCCCCCCGUGCGGAGCGGGGCCACCCCGGGGGGUGCCGGUGCCCGGCGGGCAGCGCGGGGCCGCCCCGACGGCCGCGGGGGAGCCGGGGAGCGCCGAGGAGCAGCGGCUGCGCCGCUCGGCGAUUGGAGAAAGAAAGAGGCUCAUUGAGCCCGGGGCCAGCGCGAUGGGCUGAGCCCGUCCCGACUGAAGUGACUCACUGCACUCCGCCGGCCCCGCGCUCUCGCUCACUCCCUCGCUCGCUCCCGCUGGCGGCGGCCGCCGCCUUCCCCCGGCCCUGGCCCCGGCCCCGUCCCCCGCCGCCCCCCGAGCCGUGAGACAGGUGAUGUCAGCCGGCCGGAGAAGGGAGGAAAACAACCAUAGGCUUGGGAUGUGCAAGAUUGUCACUAGCCUGAUACAGUAAAUGGACAUGUAGAUGGACUUCCUUCCUCAGCCCUGCUCACACUGUCUGGUAUGGAGAUGAAGAUACCAUUAGGAAAUUUUAAACUUGUUUUUGAAUAGAACUUGUACUUGAUAAAGCCCCUUGGUUUGUUUUCCACCAUGGACUGAGCACAGAGGUUGCACAUCAGUGCUCAGGAUCCCUCUGUUUCUGCUCAUGGGAUACUACAGAGGGGUUCAGCUGGUGAUGAGCAGGAGUCAGUUCUGCCAUACGUGAGUGUUUCUUAACUGCUGCAGACUGAAGAUCUACCUACACUUUUUAAAACCAUAUCCUCUCUUUUGGUGUGCAUGUGUCUAGCUGUUGUUUGCCUGGGGGAAGGAGGAAUGAAUGAAGAACUUAGCUUUUAGGUAAACAAGAAGUUACUGUUGUACUGUUAAAAUUACAAGCAUUUUAAAUUAGGUAUUGACAGCAGUUGAGAGCUGGUUCUCAACUAUGCUGGCAGGCAACUAGAUGUCUACCAGCUCCUAGGGGAAGCCUUAUUGCAGGCUGUGAGAAUAACUCAUUAACCAGUUAGUCUACGGCAGUACUACUCAACAUAUGGUCUGUGGGCUGCUGGUGGUCUGGAAGACAUUAAAAAGUGGUCUGAGAAAUGAUUGCACAAGAAAGGCAGAAAUAACCCCACAGAGACAGAUCCACAUUCUCACACCACUAGCAGACUUGUGCCCGUGUCACCAAGCUGCCCUGUGUCAGCAGGCUAUGCUAAGAUGUAAUUGCUUUAGUCUCCCAUUUUGAGCCUCAAUGGAUGGACCUCAAGUAAUGACAUGAAAGGGGAACUUUUGCUUGAUCAGAUUGAUGCAGAACAAGUCUUCUCCCAUUAAAUAGGAUGAAUGCCUUGUCUCCUCUUUCUUGGGUUUUUGAGACACGAGAUGGGCUAAGGGAUGCUGCUUCUACAUCUAUGUUGCUAGCGAUAAUGAAUGCUACAGGGAAACGGACGGCGGCAAGCCCAUUUCCUUCACAGUGGGAGGAAAGUAGUAAUUCAGGAGACCAUUAAACUUUAGAAAUACCUCUACAAGGUCCCUACAAAGAUACACUCCAUUUAGAUUAAAGUCCCGUAGGGCCAAUUACCUUGGAAGAACAUAAGAACUUAAACAAAAGCUGAGUUAGGUAUGCUGCCCACCAAUGGGUCUGAACAAAAAUGGAUGCAGUGAGAAAACACUUGUGUAUUAUGAAAGUGAGAACAUUUAGAGUAGCUCUGUGCAAUAACCAGCUUUUACUGUUCCCCCAGGAUCAGUGUGCACAGGAAAUAUCUGUGGCAUGUUUGCUUUUCCUGGAGAUGACAGCAACCCUUUGGCAACCACUUUAUAAUACGUGCUCAAUACUUUUCAAAAUGUUGGGCUGUUGUUUUAUGAAUGUGCUUGAUUUCUGGGUGCUGGAGCUUUUGUGCUUUGAUUUCUACUGCUCCUAACUUGCCCAUUCCCAUUUCAACCCUGGACACUUCUCCUUGAGUGUCAUUCUUUAGCUAUGAUGGUGCCUCCAUCUUUCUCAGCAGAAACAUUGGGAAGGGGUUUGAGGAAAAAUGGCAGCAAACAGAAGUCCUUUAUGCUUCUUGUGUGAAAAUAACCUCUACUGGGUGACUGUGAGCUCCUGGAGAUGGGAGAGAUGACUUAACACCGGGUUGUGGCAGGAGGAUUAGUGCAAACAAAUUGAAACCCUUUGUUUCAGUCAGUGUUUUCUGUGAGCAGGUUGAGUAAUUUGCACAAGCCUGCAAAGCAGAGUCCAGUACUAGCGCUGGAAUUAAAGUCUGCCUUUGCUUCAGCUGAUAGACCACUGACAUAAUUGAUCAGUUAGCUAUUUUCAAUCAGACCUGAGCACUGGAGUGCACUAAACUUUAUGCAAGGGAUCUGGAAAAUGAGCCAGUCCUAAGAUGCUGUAGUUACAAGUUCCUGAAAGUGUUUACUGAUGCGAAUUACUGUAUGGUUUUGAAAGUGCCUCUUCCAUUUAACAUCAUAAAAGAACUUUCUCAAGAGAAGACACAAUAAACAGUCUGAGGUCUAAUAACUGAACAUGCAAGUCUGAAUUGUUUUAAAAUACUUCUUGCUUAAAUAGGAAUCAUUAACAUUGUAACUGAUAAUGAGAAAAAUGCUUAUGCCAUUAGUGGUUUACCACUUUGGUUCCGAAAGGAUAAAAACAACUUCAUAAAAGAGACCACAGACUGUCCAUUUUCAGCCUCAGUGUAGGGUGAAUGCUUCAGUGAAUACGAAACCCAUCAUUUAAAAUAAUAUUUUCAUAUUUAUGUUUGGGAAGAAUGGUCAGAAUGCCCUUUGAGUACGCUGGAGCUCCAUGAUGCAUAGCUGGGUGGCUGCAGCAGAAGGGACAGCAUUGUGAUUGACCGUGGUGUGGUGCUGUAAGUUUCACUGCGGUGAACAAGUCUGUGUCUGGCCUUCCCCCCAGUGAUGGUGUGGGGCUGGACAGGUUCAUUUGGACAACCCCUGGUCCUUUCUGUCUUCCCCCAGCAUUGCCUGCUGCAAGACCAGUUGGGUUUUUCUAUGUGGUUGAAUCUCAGUCUGAGUUCUGUGAACUGGUGAAGGAAACAGAAGAUUUUAGGUCUCCCUAUGGCACUGGUGGGACAUGGUGGCUCAGGAACUGGGUCAGGGGUGAUGGUAUGGCCUUAAUGAAUUUGUCCAUCAGUGCCAGCUGCUCACUCCUUUGAGGAUGACUCCUUCCCCUUCUUCUGAACAACUUCCCUUGGACAAACCCCAGGAUGGACUCAGUCCCCUGCUCAGCUUGGUGGAAGGGCCCUCAAUGACUUCAGCCAGGACUGGAGCAAACCCUGGAGAUCUGGUGUUCCCUCUUCUGAACUCUGCGUUCAGGACUCAAUGUGCUGUAUUCUAGCCUUGUUCUUAGCAAGGGCAGCUGGAGGUGGAGGUAUCCUCUCAGACUGUCUCUGGAACAAAGUUUUACUGAUGCUUUGUGUGGUUGUGUUAAAUUGACAGAGAUGUUUGCUCUUACAUAAUAAUGGAAAGUUCGCCCCGCUCCCCUCAGCAAAAUGACCGUUGUGCUGUAUUCAAAAUGAAAAUCAAUCAAAGAAGGAAAACAGCUGGGCAAAUGACAAGAGAAACAGAGCUGUGCCAAGGUGAAUUUUUAUGGAAAUGCUCUCUGAACAGUAUUUCCAUGAAAAGGCAACUUACAGAUGUAGGCUGCGCUUACAUGAAGGAGAGCGUAAUGCACCGCACCCUGAACCUGGCAAGGUCUAUAAACUUCUCACAUAUAUAGUUUAGGCAACAAAGAUGCCUGCCAUGCUUAGGACACAAAGGUUUUCUUCUUUACUGUAGUGUAAUCGUAUUAGCCCCGAUACUGGAAAAAAAAAAAUAAGCUGUGGGAAAAAAGUUUAUGGAAGAAACCCUCAAAUAUAAAGUAAAUAAACUAUUCUACUGAAAAGAAGACUUUCAGUAUCAUAGGAAAUCUAAUGACUUAUCAACAGCAUCUUAGCUAUGACAGUGACUCGUAAGUCUGUCUGUGUGAGGCUCUGUGGUGGUCCUCUUUGUGAAGUAGCAUGAGUGGCUUAAUGACUGUGGAAAGUUGUUCCUGUUGAUGGCAGUGAGAUUUUUCUCAUUCACUUUAGUAGAAAAAGGAUUAGGGAAGUGAUAUAAAAAGCAAGCAAUGAAAGAUGAUUGAUGUUAGCGUUCAAAAAAUGGGAGGGGAAAAGAAGUAAAACAGUAAAAACAUCAUCUUACGCUUGAAAUUGCCACACUUAGAUCUACUUAGCCAUAUUUUCUGGAGGUGUUGUAGGCUUUUCGAUGGGACCCUAAAUGGCCUGACCAAUUUUACUGUAGACUUACUAUCAGCAGAACUCUUGCAAAGGCGGAUUUUUGGAAUCUGUUAGUUUUCCCUUGUUUCUGGGAUUUUUCAUUUCAUACCGAUCAAGUCUGAAAUGUGCUGAGAGAGAAAUUCUUGAGACAACAUUGGAAAUUUUCAGCCUAUUCCUGCAUGUCACUUUCUGAAAUAAAUGGGAAUGCAUUUUUUAAAUUUAUGCUGGCUUAUAACUCUAUGUCAUUACUAUUCUAAAAAUAAUAAUCUGGGAACUGCUUAACUGACUUGAUUGUUUACAUUUCCUUUUGACACUUCCAGCAAUAGGUUAGAGGUAAUAGUAUUAAAGCAUGUUCUUCUGUCAUCCUCUCAGAACUUGUCACUGUCAAAUAGCAUAUGACCAUUUUAAAGGUAAAGAUAGUUGCCAAAGGCCUUAGUGUAUUCAUAAAGGUCUGCAGUGGAGAUCCAAUUACAGAAAAACACUGAAUUAGGUAGCUCUUGGCUCUGAGAGUUGGGAGUAGAGGUGACUGACUGUUAUUUUUAAACAAUCUUAGGUUUACCAAAAGAAAAGGAAAAGAAAAAAAGGGAUAUCAGUAGGACUAAAAUUCUGAGCAGAUACAGUAAUGGCACUAAAAAGAAUUAGAAGAUGUGCUCUACAAGGGGUUGGUAGCUCUCCUGGAAGAUCCUUAUGGUAAGGUUGUCCAGAGAGGCUUUGAAGUCUCCUAUGGAGAUAUUCAAGACCUGUCAGGAUGUCUAUCUGUGAGACCUAUUGUAGGGUACCUGCUUUAGCAGGGGUUUGGACUUGAUGAUCACUUGAGGCCCCUUCUAACUCAUGUGAUUCUGUGAUACCAAUGCAGGUAAGUACUCUGUGUCUGUCAGUUUUUGAGCAGAGGAUCCACACCUACUGAGCAUCUCACAGGUGUGUGUAGCACCUCACAGCAGCAAGCACAGGUGCAAUAAUGAGGUCACCCGCCAGCAGUAUCUGGAAGCGCAUUCCUGCUCACUGGGUGACAGACAGUGCCCAUGCUCCCCUCGUCAACCUCCCAGGCUGCCAUCAGACCUGUAUAAUAAAUGUAAUAAGCCAUGGAAAAUGCAUCAGUAGCACGUGCUGACAUCAGUGGAACCCACAUGGGGAUGGAGAAGGGAUCCUGUUACCCCCGCUCAGCUGCACAACCUUUUAAUCCAGCUGGGAUCUACAUUUUAACCCUUUCAAAGCUCUCUCAGUGAGGAGGGAAAGGGCAAGAAAAUGUUCCUCUUUUUUCACUGAGGUUUAACCUCAGAUCUGUGUGAGCACAGACAGGCCAUGGGGAAACAAAUGCCAAAGGCUCAGCGAAUAUUGCAGAUGGUAAUGGCUGUCCUGGAGUGAGUGAACACAAAGCCAAGUUCAAUCUGCUGCCAUUAAUAAACUGUUUGUGCUGUGCUCUCAUCCUCUGAGACAUCAGAAGAGCGUUGGAGUGAAUUACAGCCUUCUGUUUAUGCUGGGACUGAUUAUUGUCCCUUGUGUAGUGGAGACACGUUUCACUACAAGAAGCCAUUCAGGACAUUCUCCUGAAAAGAAGAAAAAUCAGUUUAUGCCAAUGCAGGACUUCCUGCUAUCUCUGGUUACCCCCACAACCGCACACCCACACCCACAGGCAUGCUCAUGCAUUGCCUGCUUGACACUAGAAAGGGAUAUUACGUCUCUGGGUUAUUUCCCCAGUGCUUUUAUUUUUCAGCCCACUACAGGAAGGGUUCAUAAAGUAAGUAUAUCCAGAAAGAUGUUUUUGUUCCCCACUUUGGGUUUCAGUCCCAAGACUGCCAAUUAAAUUAUCCCAUAAAUCCUCCAUUAUAGGUAGUAAAACCUAAUUUUAGAUUUCCUGCCCACUCUAGUGUCCUGCCUGAUUGCUACCAGUUGGAUAGAGGCUCAACCUGUUAAGCAGACAAUUGCAGUGAACUGUUUCUUUCUGUG
RNAcentral lists this long non-coding RNA (6135 nucleotides) under Gallus gallus (chicken). The record is from RNAcentral. Lineage: Eukaryota; Metazoa; Chordata; Aves; Galliformes; Phasianidae.